This 919-nucleotide ribosomal RNA is filed under the name uncultured bacterium. Its description in RNAcentral is "bacterial SSU rRNA". It matches the Rfam family "Bacterial small subunit ribosomal RNA", at positions 8 to 921 of the family's 1533-position model. The record is from RNAcentral.
AGAGUUUGAUCCUGGCUCAGGAUGAACGCUAGCGGCAGGCCUAACACAUGCAAGUCGAGGGGUAACUAGAGUGAUAGCAAUAUUACUUUGGCUAGACCGGCGCACGGGUGCGUAACACGUAUGCAACCUACCUUAUACUGGGGAAUAACUUCGAGAAAUCGGCGCUAAUACCCCAUAACACUGCGAAGAGGCAUCUCUUUGCAUUUAAAGCUCCGGCGGUAUAAGAUGGGCAUGCGUCCAAUUAGCUAGUUGGUGAGGUAACGGCUCACCAAGGCUACGAUUGGUAGGGGUUCUGAGAGGAUGAUCCCCCACACUGGUACUGAGACACGGACCAGACUCCUACGGGAGGCAGCAGUGAGGAAUAUUGCGCAAUGGACGAAAGUCUGACGCAGCCAUGCCGCGUGCAGGAUGACGGCCCUAUGGGUUGUAAACUGCUUUUGUAUGGGAAUAAACCCUUCUACGUGUAGAAGGCUGAAGGUACCAUAAGAAUAAGCACCGGCUAACUCCGUGCCAGCAGCCGCGGUAAUACGGAGGGUGCAAGCGUUAUCCGGAUUUAUUGGGUUUAAAGGGUCCGUAGGCGGGCCGAUAAGUCAGUGGUGAAAGCCCAUAGCUCAACUAUGGAACUGCCAUUGAUACUGUCGGUCUUGAGUAUAUGUGAUGUUGGCGGAAUGUGUAGUGUAGCGGUGAAAUGCUUAGAUAUUACACAGAACACCGAUUGCGAAGGCAGCUGACAAAUAUAUAACUGACGCUGAGGGACGAAAGUGUGGGGAUCAAACAGGAUUAGAUACCCUGGUAGUCCACACCGUAAACGAUGAUUACUAGAUUUUGGCCUUAUGGUCAGAGUCCAAGCGAAAGUGUUAAGUAAUCCACCUGGGGAGUACGUCCGCAAGGAUGAAACUCAAAGGAAUUGACGGGGGCC